CUCGUAGGCGGCUUGUCGCGUCUGCUGUGAAAACCCGGAGCUCAACUCCGGGCCUGCAGUGGGUACGGGCAGGCUAGAGUGCGGUAGGGGAGAUUGGAAUUCCUGGUGUAGCGGUGGAAUGCGCAGAUAUCAGGAGGAACACCGAUGGCGAAGGCAGAUCUCUGGGCCGCUACUGACGCUGAGGAGCGAAAGCGUGGGAGCGAACA
RNAcentral lists this ribosomal RNA (206 nucleotides) under uncultured bacterium. RNAcentral's name for it is "partial 16S ribosomal RNA". It matches the Rfam family "Bacterial small subunit ribosomal RNA", at positions 568 to 774 of the family's 1533-position model. The record is from RNAcentral.